AUUUUUCAUAUAUAUGUAUAUAUACACAUACACAGAAGUACAGAGAACAAUAUAAGAACCCUCAUAUACCCAUCCAUGUAGCUUCAAAAAUUACCAACUCUUAGCCAAGAAUUUAUUAGGAUUUGAAUAAUUUUUGUGCUGUGUGAACCAUGCACCAAGUCCCAAGCUAGGAUCUAGGGAUCUAAAGAUGAAUCAGAUUUGACUAUAAUGCAACCUGGAAAAUAUAACACAUGACUUUGGUCCCUGAAAGACGAGUAAGAGUUGACCAGAAGAAGAAAGAUGUUUUCAUUCAUGCAGUCAUUCUCUCUCCAGAAAUAAUUAUUACAUGGGAGGCACUGUCCUUGGUGCUAGGAGCUCAUUGGGUCCCUGCCCUCAGGAAGCUUGCAUCGCAGAAGAAGGAGAUGUUGAACGAGUGAUGGGAAGUGUGAUGACUGCUUGGAAGGAGGGGCACAGGAUGCUCUGGAGUGGACCAACUUUGGCCUGGGGAGGUUUGGGGAGGCUUUCAUGAGCAAGUGGCACUUAUGUGAGAGGAAAGAGCGAAGGAGACAGAGGUCACCCAGGAGAAGAGAGGGUGAUUCCAAGUCAGAGGGGAAGUACAAGAAGGCCAGAUGAGUGUGGCAGCGGAGAGGAACGCAGAAGGCGAGGUGGGCAGGUGGACAGGUGCCAGAUCAAGGAGGGCUUUGUAUGGUAGGCUUAGCGUUUGGAACUUUAUUUUAAGGGCAAUGGGAAAGUCAGCAGAGGGUUUGGGGGCGGGAGGGGCAUGUUCACCCUGCAUUUUAGGUCAAUUCUGGCUGCUAAGUGGAGAAUAGACAGGAGUGGCAGGGUGGGGACCGAUCAGAAAGCAGCAAAUGCAGUUUAGGUAGAUGACUGUAGCUGGGGGGAGUAAGGAUGGAGAAAAUUGUGUAGGUUUAAUAACUAUUCAGGAAGUAGAAUUCACAAAAAUUAGUGCUCAGUUGAUUGAAUGGCUGCGGUAAGGAAAGGGUGGCUUCCAUAUUUUUGCUUGAGCAAAAACAAAACAAAACAAAAAUCCAGAAAUAUCACCCCUUUACAAACAGCCCACCAAAAUGCUUGUCCUGCCAGUCCCUUUGAGCAGAGGGGCUACCAUAUCCAGGGAGGUCUCUUUAGGUAACCAGAAGCUCACAGAUAGAAUGGUGAUGGUAGGGAGAAGAAUCUAAUUAGCAAAAAGUAAAACGUUUGACCCACACAGUCUUUCUGAGUCCCUGAUCUCCUAGGUCUGCAAAUCCUCCUGUCGAUGGUGAGUCAGCCUGUGCCCUUCACUCAUCCUUUCUCUGUUGCAGCUCAUCCCUCUUCUAAUGCUUUCCAUGGCCUAGGAGCCACCAAUGGCCUAGGAGCCACCUCAGAUGCUAUGUGUGGUUUUGGUCAAUGUGGGUCCCUCUGAGGCAGCAGUCUUAAAAUUAUUACCUUGGACCCAUCAGGAAAAACUUGAAUUAGAAGCAAAUCCCGAGUUCCUGUCAUGGCACAGUGGAAACGAAUCUGACUAGGAACCAUGAGGUUGCAGGUUCCAUCCCUGGCCUUGCUCAGUGGGUUGAGGAUCUGGGGUUGCCGUGAGCUAUAGUGUAGGUUGCAGAUGCGGCUUGGAUCUGGCGUUGCUGUGGCUCUGGUGUAGGCCAGCGGCUGUAGCUCCGUUUAGACCCCUAGCCUGGGAACCUCCACAUGCCGUGGGUGUGGCCCUAGAAGACAAAACGACGAAAAGAAAAAAAGGAAGAAGAAGCAAAUCCAUGCAGAAUCAUUGACCAAGAGUACUGGCUUUAUGCGAUUUGGCAUGGCAGAUCAGCCUGGCAGACGUCUGCGUUACCAGGCAGGUGAUAGCCAAGUCACCUACAGGGAGGCAUAGAGCUUUCAACUUUACUAGCAUCGAAGACACUAAUGGGGCAAAGGCAGCCUUUUCUACCGCUCUAUUAAGUAUUGCUUCGAUAUGGUAAUUGUUCUUUUUUUAAUGUAGUGGAUUUACAGUCUUGCGUCAAUUUCUGCUGCUCAGCAUAGUGACCCGGUCACACAAAUUUGUACGUUCGUUUACUCCUACUGUCCGCCGUCAUGUCUCCCCCGGAGCCCGGAUGUGGUCCCCUGUGCUGUUGGGUAGGACCGCAUUGCGUAUCCAUUCUAAGUAUAAAUAGUUUGCAUUUGUCCAUCCCACUGCCCCGCCACCCCUCGGCAACCACACGUCCGUUCUCCACGUCCGUGAGUCUGUUUCUGUUUUGUAAAUAGGGUCUGUUGUGCCAUAUUUUAGAUUCCACGUGUAGGUGAUACAUGGUAUUUGUCUUUCUCUUUCUGACUUACUUCACUUAGUAUGAGAGUCUCUAGUCGCAUGAUACUGUAAUUUCUCUCGUGAUGGAUCCAAUGAACCUAUUUUCUUCAGGGUGGUUGGUAUCAUUUGGGAACUCUCUAAGUAGUAAAUUCUUCUCACAUAUUCUGUGCAACUGAAUUCAUAAGUCGGAUGAUAGGCCUGGCAAAGCCUCCCUCAAUACCCUGCUUUAACAGGACUCUUCUAGUAUGUUCCCAGGAAGACCAUACCGGGUGAGAGGAGGAAGGGACGGAGGCCUGAACCCGGGACAGCAGCAUUUGGUAAGCCAUAUGGGAAAAGAAGGCUGAAGAAAGCUGAGACGAAGCAGAGAGCAGAAGGGUCAGGAGCGCGUCGUGUCGGGGAAGAGCGCCAAGGGAGGGGAGCCGAUCAAGGGAGAAGACGCGGUCGACAGCCGCAAGCGCAGCCAAGAUUUCCCGCAAGGUCAAGGUGAAAAAAUAUCCUUUGAAUUUGGCAGCGUGGAGGUCAUGGAUUCCCCAUGAUGAUAAGAUGGGGAUCAGCGGAAGAUGUAGGCAGAAGCCACAGUGCCGUGAACUGAGCAAGUGAAGAUGAGAAAAUAGGAUAAGCAGGUGCAGAGCCCCCUUUUGGGAAAGUGGGCAGGAAGAAUAGACAGUGGCUGAAACGUGAUACAAUACUAAACCUUCUGAUUUUGUCUUUUUUUUUUUUUAAGAUGGUAGGGACUUGAACUUGGGUGUCCACUACAAAAAGGUACCGGUAGAGAAGCUGAAUUUGAAAGUCGAGGAAAACAGGGAGAGAUGGAGUGAGACCCUGGAGGUGAUGAGGGCAGGUCGGGUCAAGGGCUCCUGCAGAACUGGGCCCUGACCUCCAUGGGCUGAGGGCGAGGAUGGGGCGGGGGGUAAGGCUACAAGGUGCCAGCAGGCAAGCGGCUGAGGUAGUCGUGCCCAGGGAUCACCGCCUUUUCCGUCUUGAGCUGAGGAAGGGACGGAGGCUUGGCUGAAGAACAAGGAAAACCUCGCCAGAGAAGAAUCAUCCUGCCGUGAACUUGUUGCUGUUGCCUUUGCUCUUGUGAUCAGUGCAGCACGGUUUCCCUCUCUCGUUGGUAACCGCACAUCAGUUUUCCUUGAAGAGGGAAUUCCCUCCACGGCGCAGUGGGUUAAGGAUCCAACUGCAGGAGUUCCCGUCGUGGCGCAGUGGUUAACGAAUCCGACUAGGAACCAUGAGGUUGCAGGUUCCAUCCCUGCCUUGCUCAGUGGGUUAAGAUCCGGCGUUGCGGUAGCUGUGGUGUAGGUCGAAGACUCGGCUCAGAUCCUGCGUUGCUGUGGCUCUGGUGUAGGCCGGCAGCUACAGCUCCAAUUUGACCCCUAGCCUGGGAACCUCCACAUGCCGC
This 3668-nucleotide long non-coding RNA is filed under the name Sus scrofa (pig). RNAcentral's name for it is "lncRNA (ENSSSCG00000054211.1)". The record is from RNAcentral. Lineage: Eukaryota; Metazoa; Chordata; Mammalia; Artiodactyla; Suidae.